Molecule: ribosomal RNA, 254 nt
Filed under: uncultured bacterium
Lineage: Bacteria
Description: partial 16S ribosomal RNA
Rfam family: Bacterial small subunit ribosomal RNA
Source: RNAcentral
UACGUAGGACCCAAGCGUUAUCCGGAAUCACUGGGCGUAAAGCGUGUGUAGGCGGUGCGUUGAGUGCAAUGCGAAAUUCUGGGGCUCAACCCUAUGAACUGUAUUGCAUACUGGCGUACUGGAGGUCGGCAGAGGCAAGCGGAAUUGGUAGUGUAGCAGUGAAAUGCGUAGAUAUUACCAGGAACACCAAUGGCGAAGGCAGCUUGCUGGGCCGAAUCUGACGCUGAGACACGAAAGCGUGGGGAGCGAACAGG